ACUUUUUUGGCUUGAGGUUGAGAUUGAAAACCAGGGAGUUUUUUGGUUUGGGCCUUUAUCUUUGGCUGGAAGUCGCAUUGAUGUUCCAUUUUGUAAUCUAGGAUACAGAAUGUGCUCGAGAUCAGACCCCUUGAUGAGAACCAAUUAUAGCACCCUUCAAAGACAGAGCGAAUUGAAUCAGUGAAAAGCUAUAUUCUUUGUCGGUAAAAAGGAAGCAAUCAUAACCGUGUACGUUUCCUCAAGAACACCAAUAUAGUGGACUUUCAAAAUUUGACACCUGACAUGAUUGCCCUCAAUCUGUUUAACUAUUGAGGAUAUUAGACAUGCAUUCCAAGUAUAUAUUGAUCAGUGUUUGCAAUACAAGAUCUAAUCAGCAACCCCAACAGAUAGUAGUACAUCAAAGAUCUUGCAGAAUUCUUUAAAUAUCUGAUCUGGCUACCUGGCCAUCGGGGGUGUAGCUAGCAGCGGUAACCAUUUCAUGUAGAUCUGUCCAGUCAACAACGUGACGAUCAGAUGGUAUAGGUGUUAAUUCUGCAAGUGGAGAGCGGUCUGACCCAAUGCAAGCCAUCGGAUGAACAGGUGUGCCACUAAGUGAACUUGUAUCAUCAGCCUUUGUCGAUGCAACUUCACAUUCCUGCACUUCCCACACAUGAAUCACCUUAUCUUCUCCUGCACUUGCUAGAAAACGAGCAUCCCAGCUGAAUUUGAUGCCUUUGCUGGUUUGUGGUCCUCAUGUGAAGAAUGCUCGUGUUCUUUGUGUAAUCCGCUCAUCGAAGUUGCUACUCCCUUUAUAUUCUUCAAAAGUGCAGCUCCCCUUCUCUUGCUAUUUCUGAAACUCUUACUGAAAGAGGAAUGAUUGUUGAUUUUCCUGCCAUCUUCAUGAGUUUUUCUUACCACAUUCUGCCGGCACAUCAACUCCUUCACCACCGGUGAAUAUCCAACAGACUUCUCAAACUCCUCCAUUUGUCCAAAUUCUUUAUUAAGAAGAAUGAACCAAAUGCACCAUCUGCCACUACGGAUUGUAACUGAUCAUGGUUCAAAUUUGAUGAUCUGUUUCUCCGUCUUUCUGGGGGUAUUCUAACAGCAGUUGAGUAUUGACAUACACCUAUAGUAGAAAAAGCUUGUAUAUCACCAUCUGACCGCGAUCGGGCAAGGACAAUUGCAGGUGUAUGUGAAUGUAAAGGUGAAGAAGGAGAAGACUCAUCUCUUUUCCGUUCUUCCUUGGGAGAAGAAUCAAAUUUUACUCUGGCAGGA
Sesamum indicum (sesame) is the source of this 1254-nucleotide non-coding RNA. The record is from RefSeq and is a predicted model, not a curated record. NCBI's taxonomy places the organism in Eukaryota, Viridiplantae, Streptophyta, Magnoliopsida, Lamiales, Pedaliaceae.